UACGUAGGGGGCGAGCGUUGUCCGGAAUCAUUGGGCGUAAAGCGCGUGUAGGCGGUUCGGUAAGUCUGCUGUGAAAGUCCAGGGCUCAACCCUGGGAUGCCGGUGGAUACUGCCGAACUAGAGUGCGGAAGAGGCGAGUGGAAUUCCCGGUGUAGCGGUGAAAUGCGUAGAGAUCGGGAAGAACAUCGGUGGCGAAAGCGCUCUACUGGACGGUGACUGACACUCAGGGACGAAAGCUAGGGGAGCGAAUGGG
This 253-nucleotide ribosomal RNA is filed under the name uncultured bacterium. RNAcentral's name for it is "partial 16S ribosomal RNA". It matches the Rfam family "Bacterial small subunit ribosomal RNA", at positions 524 to 776 of the family's 1533-position model. The record is from RNAcentral.